Molecule: ribosomal RNA, 498 nt
Filed under: uncultured Sphingobacteriales bacterium
Lineage: Bacteria; Pseudomonadati; Bacteroidota; Sphingobacteriia; Sphingobacteriales
Description: bacterial SSU rRNA
Rfam family: Bacterial small subunit ribosomal RNA
Source: RNAcentral
CGUCCAGCCCGCUCAGAAACUCAAAGGAAUUGACGGGGCCCGCACAAGCGGAGGAGCAUGUGGUUUAAUUCGAUGAUACGCGAGGAACCUUACCUGGGCUCGAACGUAAGAUGACUGUAGGUGAAAGCUUACAUCUCUUCGGAGCAUUUUACGAGGUGCUGCAUGGUUGUCGUCAGCUCGUGCCGUGAGGUGUCGGGUUAAGUCCCAUAACGAGCGCAACCCUACCUUUAGUUGCCAUCAGGUAAUGCUGGGGACUCUAAAGGAACUGCCUACGCAAGUAGUGAGGAAGCGGGGAUGACGUCAAAUCAGCACGGCCCUUACGUCCAGGGCUACACACGUGCUACAAUGGCCGAUACAGAGGGCAGCUACCUGGUGACAGGAUGCAAAUCUCCAAAGUCGGUCUCAGUUCGGAUCGGAGUCUGCAACCCGACUCCGUGAAGUUGGAUUCGCUAGUAAUCGCGCAUCAGCCAUGGCGCGGUGAAUACGUUCCCGGGCCUU